GACGAACGCUGGCGGCGUGCUUAACACAUGCAAGUCGAACGGAAAGGCCCUGCUUUUGUGGGGUGCUCGAGUGGCGAACGGGUGAGUAACACGCGAGUAACCUGCCCUUGACUUUGGGAUAACUUCAGGAAACUGGGGCUAAUACCGGAUAGGAGCUCCUGCUGCAUGGUGGGGGUUGGAAAGUUUCGGCGGUUGGGGAUGGACUCGCGGCUUAUCAGCUUGUUGGUGGGGUAGUGGCUUACCAAGGCUCUGACGGGUAGCCGGCCUGAGAGGGUGACCGGCCACAUUGGGACUGAGAUACGGCCCAGACUCCUACGGGAGGCAGCAGUGGGGAAUAUUGCACAAUGGGCGGAAGCCUGAUGCAGCAACGCCGCGUGCGGGAUGACGGCCUUCGGGUUGUAAACCGCUUUCGCCUGUGACGAAGCGUGAGUGACGGUAAUGGGUAAAGAAGCACCGGCUAACUACGUG
Molecule: ribosomal RNA, 468 nt
Filed under: uncultured bacterium
Lineage: Bacteria
Description: partial 16S ribosomal RNA
Rfam family: Bacterial small subunit ribosomal RNA
Source: RNAcentral